CAGUCGUACCGGCGGAUAAUCAGCCUUUCGGGUGCGAUUCUGUGGGGCGUGAAGAGUUUAACCGCCUUCAUGUUUUGCAUAUUCGUGCACAUUUGGUGUACUUGUCCGUGUGGUGGGUUAACAUCAAUUUCGGACGUCAUAAAAUGAUGUUAACCUACCACACGGGCAAGUACACCCAAGAGCACGAAUACGUAAAACAUGAGGGUGAUUAAACUCCUCACAAUCCACAUAAUCACACUCAAAAAAGCUGAUUGUCCG
This 258-nucleotide ribosomal RNA is filed under the name uncultured Glomeromycotina. RNAcentral describes it as "partial large subunit ribosomal RNA". The record is from RNAcentral. Lineage: Eukaryota; Fungi; Glomeromycota.